RNAcentral lists this ribosomal RNA (468 nucleotides) under uncultured bacterium. Its description in RNAcentral is "partial 16S ribosomal RNA". It matches the Rfam family "Bacterial small subunit ribosomal RNA", at positions 28 to 507 of the family's 1533-position model. The record is from RNAcentral.
GACGAACGCUGGCGGCGUGCUUAACACAUGCAAGUCGAACGGAAAGGCCCUGCUUUUGUGGGGUGCUCGAGUGGCGAACGGGUGAGUAACACGUGAGUAACCUGCCCUUGACUUUGGGAUAACUUCAGGAAACUGGGGCUAAUACCGGAUAGGAGCUCCUGCUGCAUGGUGGGGGUUGGAAAGUCUCGGCGGUUGGGGAUGGACUCGCGGCUUAUCAGCUUGUUGGUGGGGUAGUGGCUUACCAAGGCUUUGACGGGUAGCCGGCCUGAGAGGGUGACCGGCCACAUUGGGACUGAGAUACGGCCCAGACUCCUAAGGGAGGCAGCAGUGGGGAAUAUUGCACAAUGGGCGGAAGCCUGAUGCAGCAACGCCGCGUGCGGGAUGACGGCCUUCGGGUUGUAAACCGCUUUCGCCUGUGACGAAGCGUGAGUGACGGUAAUGGGUAAAGAAGCACCGGCUAACUACGUG